CCAUCUCCCAGCGCAGGGAGGAGCCCGAAAGGGCUGCGGCUGUGCCGAUGGCGGCCUCCCGGCCCGUGCAACCUCUAAGCCCUACACCCGGAGGGAGCGCGUCAGAGGCCUCCCUGCUCAGCAGCAGACUCCUGGGGCUGCACCUGCAGGCCUGGACACCCUUUAGUCCCGAUGAUGGCGCGGCCGCCCUCCUGCCCCAUACUGGGCAAGGUCACCUGGGCUCCAGGCCCGGACGCCCUCCAGGCUCCAGGCGGCGCGUGGGUCACCGGCCUGAGCGCCCCCUAAGCCAGAUGAAUGGAGCCCUGGAGAAUGGACUGGAUGGCCAGCAGGCGCCAGAACUCCCGCACCGCCUCGUCCCGGUUGCUCCGCACCAGCCGCAGCAGGGCUGCGUUGUGGAAGAGCAGCUUCCCGUCCGCAAACUCAUUCCAGAGGUAGGGGUUCUCCUGGGGCGGUGGGGGACGGCUGGCUGUGGGCGCUCCUCUCCCCUGCCCCACGCCCCUCACUGUCGCUCGCUGCGGGGUGGACAGGCUCACCUUAGGUCUCCUGGUCUCUGAAUCCGGCCCUGGGGAAAGACCCAGCUUCAGGCCCCAGCUCCGCCAGACCCCCAACGUGGGGGUCCCACAGCCCUUGCCCCCCAGUCUCAGGCUUCCAGGGGCUGCUGGAUGCAGCCACACAAGCCAGGCCUGCGGCUCCGGAAUCCACACCUCAAGCAAUCUUGGGGUGAAAGCUGACCUCCGUUUCCACCAUCUGCACAAAGUGGGGAACACGGGAGCACCCCGUCCUGUCUCCCAGGGACCUCAGA
Molecule: long non-coding RNA, 802 nt
Filed under: Saimiri boliviensis boliviensis (Bolivian squirrel monkey)
Lineage: Eukaryota; Metazoa; Chordata; Mammalia; Primates; Cebidae
Description: lncRNA (ENSSBOG00000036509.1)
Source: RNAcentral